This 1181-nucleotide long non-coding RNA is filed under the name Trifolium pratense (red clover). Its description in RNAcentral is "long non-coding RNA (TPRA_LNC012227)". The record is from RNAcentral. Lineage: Eukaryota; Viridiplantae; Streptophyta; Magnoliopsida; Fabales; Fabaceae.
UUGAAGUUACCUUAAUUAACCAGAUAGUAAAAACAAUUAAAUCUACAUAUCAUGAAUAUAUAAUUACCAGGAACAACUUUAACUAUAUGACGAUUUUUUGCUGCUUCGCCCCAGAAUUGAAGUAAAGGAUCCUUGGAAAAGAGAAGAAUAUUGUUAACCUUCCAGUCACAAUUAAUGUCUUGAACUAAAUGAUGCAUACCUCUAAAUAGUGAGACAGAACAAUCAAUGUCUUGAACUUCUCCAUUUGCUAAUAUUUAUAGUAAACCAAAAUUNNNNNNNNNNNNNNNNNNNNNNNNNNNNNNNNNNNNNNNNNAGAGUACUUCUUAAUAAGAAGGAAAUAAACAUAUUACCAAUAUAGUUAGGUUAGUUAAAAUUCAAAUAAAAAAUUUCUAAAACCCAGAUGAAUGCAAGAGAGUAGAGACACAUAAAAAUCACAUGUAAUGCUAAAAAAUAAUAGAAAAAUUCAUAAAAGAAUACUUUCUAAGAAUCGUACCACACGUUCCGGCAUAAAAAAAGGGACAGGCUGAAGUACGGAGCCGGCAUAGCCAUGAGAGCCUAUUCAAAAAACAAAAAGAAUGCAGCAAAACAGGAAGCGAUUGAUCAAGAAAACUUACUAGAAUUUCGUGACAGAAAUGACCGAUAGGACGACGGUGCAUUAGCGAUGUCGAUACAGCUGAAUGUGCUAUAUGUAGUGCAAAACACACUUCUCAUUACCAUUAUUGACAUUUCUCAAUAGAUUUAAUCAAAACUAACAGAUUGCAAAUAACAGAACGAAAACCCUUCAGUUUUCCAGUAGACACUUUUUCCAUUAGAUUUAUAUCAUAUUUCCAAAAAUCAACCCUUCAGAUGUGAAAAACGAAAACAAAAAAGUAAAACAAUCCAGAAGGAGAAAACAAAUUAAUAAGGGGCAAGGUAAGUAAGAAAGAAUUGAGGUACCACAUUGACCAGUUAACUUCAGCUAAUGCUCCUUUCAUUCCAUAGAUUAAGUGUGGUACCACAUUAGGUCCAGUUAACUUCAGCUAAUGCUCCUUUCAUUCCAUAGAUUAAGUGUGGUACCACAUUGGGUCCCUACCACUCACACAUCUGAUGUAAGUGGGGUUGGAAGAAUCAUGUAUGGCAUGGUUUGUAAUAGGCCUGAUUUAUCCUAUGUAAUAAGUGUGGUAAGUCGGUUUAUGGCAAAU